UACGUAGGGUGCAAGCGUUGUCCGGAAUUAUUGGGCGUAAAGAGCUUGUAGGCGGUUUGGCGCGUCUGCUGUGAAAUUUCGGGGCUCAACCCCGAACUUGCAGUGGGUACGGGCAGACUAGAGUGUGGUAGGGGAGACUGGAAUUCCUGGUGUAGCGGUGAAAUGCGCAGAUAUCAGGAGGAACACCGAUGGCGAAGGCAGGUCACUGGGACGGUACUGACGCUGAGACGCGAAAGCGUGGGGAGCAAACAGG
This 253-nucleotide ribosomal RNA is filed under the name uncultured bacterium. RNAcentral's name for it is "partial 16S ribosomal RNA". It matches the Rfam family "Bacterial small subunit ribosomal RNA", at positions 524 to 776 of the family's 1533-position model. The record is from RNAcentral.